Molecule: small nucleolar RNA, 136 nt
Organism: Myotis lucifugus (little brown bat)
Lineage: Eukaryota; Metazoa; Chordata; Mammalia; Chiroptera; Vespertilionidae
Product: small nucleolar RNA SNORA5
Source: Ensembl
AGAGAGAUGGAAACAUCAAUGUGACUGCCCCAUCCAUGGCAGGCACUGGCCCCGAAGGCUGCCACAGAAACACUCUGGCGGAUGGGCCCUGAUCCCCUCUGCUGGGCCUCAGGGGUAAAUUUGGCUACAGACAUCA